CAGUAGCCACGGUAAUACGUAGGGUGCAAGCGUUAAUCGGAAUUACUGGGCGUAAAGCGUGCGCAGGCGGUUAUAUAAGUCAGAUGUGAAAUCCCCGGGCUCAACCUGGGAACUGCAUUUGAGACUGUAUGGCUAGAGUGUGUCAGAGGGGGGUAGAAUUCCACGUGUAGCAGUGAAAUGCGUAGACAUGUGGAGGAAUACCGAUGGCGAAGGCAGCCCCCUGGGAUAACACUGACGCUCAUGCACGAAAGCGUGGGGAGCAAACAGGAUUAGAUACCCCGGUAGUCCCUGUCUCUUAUAA
Molecule: ribosomal RNA, 301 nt
Filed under: uncultured bacterium
Lineage: Bacteria
Description: partial 16S ribosomal RNA
Rfam family: Bacterial small subunit ribosomal RNA
Source: RNAcentral